RNAcentral lists this ribosomal RNA (467 nucleotides) under uncultured bacterium. Its description in RNAcentral is "partial 16S ribosomal RNA". It matches the Rfam family "Bacterial small subunit ribosomal RNA", at positions 28 to 506 of the family's 1533-position model. The record is from RNAcentral.
GACGAACGCUGGCGGCGUGCUUAACACAUGCGAGUCGAACGGUGAAGCUCCAGCUUGCUGGAGUGGAUCAGUGGCGAACGGGUGAGUAACACGUGAGCAACCUGCCCCUGACUCUGGAAUAAGCGCUGGAAACGGCGUCUAAUACUGGAUACGAGAAGGGUCCGCAUGGGCACUUUCUGGAAAGUUUUUCGGUUGGGGAUGGGCUCGCGGCCUAUCAGCUUGUUGGUGAGGUAAUGGCUCACCAAGGCGACGACGGGUAGCCGGCCUGAGAGGGCGACCGGCCACACUGGGACUGAGACACGGCCCAGACUCCUACGGGAGGCAGCAGUGGGGAAUAUUGCACAAUGGGCGAAAGCCUGAUGCAGCGACGCCGCGUGAGGGAUGACGGCCUUCGGGUUGUAAACCUCUUUCAGCAGGGAAGAAGCGAAAGUGACGGUACCUGCAGAAGAAGCACCGGCUAACUACGU